CCUGGCGGCCGUAGCGCGGUGGUCCCACCUGACCCCAUGCCGAACUCAGAAGUGAAACGCCGUAGCGCCGAUGGUAGUGUGGGGUCUCCCCAUG
This 94-nucleotide ribosomal RNA is filed under the name Escherichia coli. RNAcentral also lists the same sequence under 2 other names. The record is from RNAcentral. Lineage: Bacteria; Pseudomonadati; Pseudomonadota; Gammaproteobacteria; Enterobacterales; Enterobacteriaceae.